Molecule: long non-coding RNA, 1069 nt
Organism: Nerophis ophidion (straightnose pipefish)
Lineage: Eukaryota; Metazoa; Chordata; Actinopteri; Syngnathiformes; Syngnathidae
Exons: 4
Source: RefSeq, a predicted model, not a curated record
AACAGACUCACUCACUUGCCGUCAAGUGUACAACAACAACGUAAAACGUUGGCCAACCAAAAAGCAACCCCAGUAUGCUAUGACCAACAUUGACCAGGAGAUGGCAAGAUACACACAUAGACCAAUCUAUUACAGCCACCCGCCUUUAAAAUUAAAAAUAAGAAGAAAAAAAGUGUCAGCGGUCUACCUGUUUACAUGCGCACUUUGAAAUUGGAGUCGUUGGAAAUCUUUUAAACUUAAACUGACUCCGCCAUAGCUGAGAUAGGCGCCAGCGCCCCCCGCGACCCCGAAAGGGAAUAAGCGGUAGAAAAUGGAUGGAUGGGGAUGACUCCGCCAUGGAUGAAGAUGGACGUGCUUUCUCGAGCAUGGACCGUACAACAGUUGCAGGGUCGAAAGGGCCUGAAAGACAGCCUACAGAACCAGACCAGACACUACAAAGUUCUACAGGAGCUAUACAAAUCCAGGCCCAGACCUAACAAUAAGGAUGUUGCCUAGCUGUUGGACCUUGAAUAUCAAGCAAGAUGGACUUACAUUGACUCUGAUGUUUUGAAGAAGGACAAACCUACCAAGAUCCUUCAAAAAAGUGGAUCAUAUAAUGGCUGAACUUUAGCGGAUGCGUAGUCAAAGAAAUUCUCACUUCAUGCCUGAACUGAAGAACCGCUGGAGGACAUUUUGUGAGAAGAUUCAGUUUUAUGAAGUUUUCAAUAAAAAUCACAAGACCCCCACUUGCAGAUGAAGCAAAGCAAGCGGUUGCGAUGAUAAAGGCUUUGCCAGACAUCUUUCUAUCCCCUACUGCUCCCCCAAAUAAGUUGGGGCUUCCAUGUGGGGCCAUACAUCACAUCCUUGAGGUAAAAAAUGUUGUAUGACAUUUUUUCCUGUACUUUACAGCAGGGCUAUUCAACUGUGUUGUUAAGGGGCCACAUUUUUAGAAGGCCAAGUGCCAAGGGGGGUAGACAUUUUCCUGUUGUUUUUUUUUUUUGCACACAGUCUUUCAGCAUUUUGAUGAUGGCCAAUAAUUAUUAUGUUAUGUUACUAUGCACCUUGAAUAUAAUAAAGAGGUGAAAAGAAA